CAUGGUGCCGGUGUCCAUGGUCCCCGCGAGGGGAUAACAGGGAAUCCGGUGCGAGCCUCGGGCUCAAGUCCGGGGCUGCCCCCGCAACUGUCGGCGGAGACGGGUGCCCGCGAUCCACUGGCCAUAAGGCCGGGAAGGAGGGGCCCGGUUCGAUCCGUGAGCCAGGAGACCUACCAUGGAAUUGAGUUUCAC
This 192-nucleotide non-coding RNA is filed under the name Pelagibacterium sp. Lineage: Bacteria; Pseudomonadati; Pseudomonadota; Alphaproteobacteria; Hyphomicrobiales; Devosiaceae. The record is from RNAcentral.